UACGUAGGGUGCGAGCGUUAAUCGGAAUUACUGGGCGUAAAGCGUGCGCAGGCGGUUUUGUAAGCCAGGUGUGAAAUCCCCGGGCUCAACCUGGGAAUGGCAUUUGGGACUGCAAGGCUGGAGUGCGGCAGAGGAGACUGGAAUUCCUGGUGUAGCAGUGAAAUGCGUAGAUAUCAGGAGGAACACCGAUGGCGAAGGCGAUCAUCUGGGGUUGUUCUGACACUGAGGAGCGAAAGCUAGGGGAGCAAACGGG
This 253-nucleotide ribosomal RNA is filed under the name uncultured bacterium. Its description in RNAcentral is "partial 16S ribosomal RNA". It matches the Rfam family "Bacterial small subunit ribosomal RNA", at positions 524 to 776 of the family's 1533-position model. The record is from RNAcentral.